Molecule: long non-coding RNA, 2279 nt
Organism: Spodoptera frugiperda (fall armyworm)
Lineage: Eukaryota; Metazoa; Arthropoda; Insecta; Lepidoptera; Noctuidae
Exons: 4
Source: RefSeq, a predicted model, not a curated record
UUCGUACAGCAUACGUUUUUUGGUGUUCCCUGAUAAAAUUUGUACCACUUAUUGAGGCAAUUAAACCAUUCAUUUUUCUGUAAAAAUAAUAUUUUUAGAAGCUGGGGUUUAGCAAAUAUAUCAAUUAAAAGAUUUUAGUAACGAAACGUAAUAUAAUGCAACGAAACGUAGAAGACAUGUUUAGUUAGUUGCCAUUAAUAAAAUAUCAGAAGGCUCGAAAUGAUAAAUAAAUAUUUUUAAAUAGAAAUAACAGUAAAUAUAAUUUACCAAUUACAGGUUAUACCUUAGAAUAUAUAAUUAAUGCAUAUAUAUGCAUAGAAUCUUUAUAUUUAUAGGAAUUAUUUUUGCCAUCAAUAUUUUUUUUUGUAAUGGCAAUUAUUUAUUGACAGGUUCGUAAAAUCCCUAAUCUUUCAAAGUCUGUCCAGUUUUUUGCCGUUGUUUUGUUUUGGAUUGUAGUUUGUAACUUCAUCUAAACAAUUUAGCAAUUAUCUGGCCAUUUUUACGUUGAGUUGAGCAACUGCUUCUCCGUUCUCUAUAUGUUGAUACUACUUUCGCGAAAGGACGCUUUAUUAUUGUGUUGUGUGUUACGUGUUUUAUUGAAAAUGACGAGUUUGCAAUGCAUCAAUUGCAAUGUUCGCUUGUCCCGAAGAAGAAGACACGCUUUAUCCAAUGACGGUGAAGAUAUCGUCAACACUAAUCGUCUGUGGACAUAUCUUAGAGAUAUUACACCAGAUGACCAAGUUUACCAUGAAUGCUGGCAGCUAGCUAGUCAUUCAUGUUCUUCUGAUAAUAUGCCGAGAAGACACAUAGGCCAUCAGUGUUUGUGUUGUAUGUGGACAACCCAUACUAAGAAUCAGGCAAUGCAGGAUUUUGAUUGAAGAAGAACAAAGAACGGCUUACACAAUUGCUACUUGGAUCUAACCACGACAGCUUCAUCCUGAAGAUAAAGCUUGUGUGCGGUGUUGGUUAAGAGCGAGAACUAAGGAUACUUCACUAAAUGAAGAUAUUCAAUCCGUUGAACCUAAUCAGCAGAAAAGUGAUAAUUCUGAACUGAUGUGUGCUGCAUGUGGUCAAAGUCUUACUCCCAACAACACUGCUUGUUUGUUGGAGCACCAGCAGACACCUUCCAUUAAUGAAGUUUGUGAAGUUUGCUGGGGCCAAGUAUGCAAUUUGAACUUCUAUGUUCCAGAUGGUCUAUGUUGCUUCAAGCUAAAAUAAAAUCCUGCCACUCUUCUCCUAGAAUUUAUUUUGUUUUCAUAGUUGCAGAAACAAAUAUGAAUAGCCGGGACACAAUCAAAAGUGAUUGCUGUAAUUGUAUUGUAGGUUUAAGAACAGUGGGAUGCUACUCACAUGUUAUGAGCAUUCUUUGGUAUUUGAGUUAUGCUUGCCAUGAGGGUAUGAGCCGACCUGCCCCUUUCUUGGAUGAAGUAAUAUUAAGAACCAAUCAAGUAAUUAUAAGAAAAUAAAAUAAAUGAAAUUCCUACAAAAACUAAGUUGUUUUAUUUACCUACACUGAAAACUUCAUCAGCUCUUAAUCAUUAUCAAACUAUUCUAGACCGCUGCUGGACAUAGGUCACUCCUUAAGCACCCUACUGAAUGGGUAAAUUCUCAUGUCAAUUUAUCAACUUCCUAUAUUCUUUUUCAUUUAAACAAUGUUUAUGUGCUUAGUGCUUACACAUGAUAAAGAACAAAGGGUAAUGUUGGGACCACCUCUCAAUAGUAAUGAGACACCCUUCUAUAGAUAAAUAUUCUCAAACUGAAUAAACUUACUAAAGUACUACAAUUAAGCUUAAGCAAUUAACCUUUUUUAUGCAAUAAAUUGGUAAACGAGCAGACGGAUCAUCUGAUGGUAAGCAAUCGCCGCCGCCCAUGUACACCUGAGGCGUUAGAAGUGCGUUGCCGGCCUUUUGGGGGUUCUGAAUUUAAGGGUUAUUAGGGAAGGGGUAAUUGCGCCUCCGGUAACCUCACUCACUCAACGAAAUACAACGCCAACGCGAAACAAACUCUUGACAAUGAUGAUAGUAGCUUACUUUUUUACAAGAUAAAUGUUCCAUAAGUCAUUUCUUAUCUUCCUACUCUUUCUCCUUCCGAAACACGAAGGAAACUUUCUAUGAUGGUCACCCAUCCACACACCAAAGUCGGCAAGGGUUGCUUAACCUUGGCGAUUGACCUGUGCUUUUGAUAUUAUUAACAACAAGCUUCUCUACUAGCCCAUACCUACUAUAUGUAUAUUCUACCUUAUAAAUAAUAUGAAAAUCUUGUAAAAUAUCCAUAUUUAC